RNAcentral lists this transfer RNA (81 nucleotides) under Micromonospora sp. Llam0. It matches the Rfam family "tRNA". Rfam says of the family: Transfer RNA (tRNA) molecules are approximately 80 nucleotides in length. Their secondary structure includes four short double-helical elements and three loops (D, anti-codon, and T loops). The record is from Rfam by way of RNAcentral. RNAcentral also lists the same sequence under 13 other names. Lineage: Bacteria; Bacillati; Actinomycetota; Actinomycetes; Micromonosporales; Micromonosporaceae.
GCCCGGGUGGUGGAAUGGCAGACACGGCUGCCUUAAAAGCGGCUGCUGAAAAGCGUGCGGGUUCGAUUCCCGCCCCGGGUA